RNAcentral lists this ribosomal RNA (294 nucleotides) under Microcystis sp. Kd1015-CI. RNAcentral's name for it is "partial 16S ribosomal RNA". It matches the Rfam family "Bacterial small subunit ribosomal RNA", at positions 323 to 632 of the family's 1533-position model. The record is from RNAcentral. Lineage: Bacteria; Bacillati; Cyanobacteriota; Cyanophyceae; Chroococcales; Microcystaceae.
CGGCCAGUCCAGACUCCUACGGGAGGCAGCAGUGGGGAAUUUUCCGCAAUGGGCGAAAGCCUGACGGAGCAAUACCGCGUGGGGGAGGAAGGUCUUUGGAUUGUAAACCUCUUUUCUGAAGGAAGAAGCUCUGACGGUACUUCAGGAAUAAGCAUCGGCUAACUCCGUGCCAGCAGCCGCGGUAAUACGGAGGAUGCAAGCGUUAUCCGGAAUUAUUGGGCGUAAAGCGUCCGUAGGUGGUGAUACAAGUCUGUCGUCAAAGCAGGUUGCUUAACGACCUAAAGGCGGUGGAAA